Molecule: ribosomal RNA, 164 nt
Filed under: Clostridium butyricum
Lineage: Bacteria; Bacillati; Bacillota; Clostridia; Eubacteriales; Clostridiaceae
Description: partial 23S ribosomal RNA
Rfam family: Bacterial large subunit ribosomal RNA
Source: RNAcentral
AACGCUGAAAGCAUCUAAGUGUGAAGCCCACCUCAAGAUGAGAUUUCCCAUAGCAUAAGCUAGUAAGACCCCUUGAAGACUACAAGGUUGAUAGGUCAGAGGUGUAAGUGCGGUAACGUAUUUAGCUGACUGAUACUAAUAGGUCGAGGGCUUGACCAAUAUAA